Molecule: small nuclear RNA, 169 nt
Filed under: Felis catus (domestic cat)
Lineage: Eukaryota; Metazoa; Chordata; Mammalia; Carnivora; Felidae
Description: U4 spliceosomal RNA (ENSFCAG00000038064.2)
Rfam family: U4 spliceosomal RNA (bases 1-79)
Source: RNAcentral
AUCUUUGUGCAGUGGCAGUAUCGUAGCCAGUGAGGUUUAUCAGAGGUGCGAUUAUUGCUUAAUGGAAAAAAAAAAAAAGGUUAGCGACUGAAAAAAAAAAAAAGAUUUCUAGGGUUUGGAGUCCAAAGUUCCAAUCCCAGCUCUGCAACCUUCUGUUACCUUGACCAAG